Manacus vitellinus (golden-collared manakin) is the source of this 1302-nucleotide long non-coding RNA. RefSeq lists it as uncharacterized. The transcript is spliced from 2 exons. NCBI's taxonomy places the organism in Eukaryota, Metazoa, Chordata, Aves, Passeriformes, Pipridae. The record is from RefSeq and is a predicted model, not a curated record.
UUGUCAAGGAAGCAUUAAUGGAGGAGCAGAAACGAAGUGAAAAGGCAAUUGAAGAAGCAGUGAAAAGGACAAGAGAGGAACUGAUGGAAUAUAUUAAAGAACAGAAAAGGCUUGAUCAAGUUGUCCGUCAGAGAAAUCUGCAUAGUUUGGAACUUUUCCUUUCAUGUGCACAGAAACAGUUAAACGUUUUAUUAAAGGAAGAGCCAACCACAGAAGAAAACAGAGACUGACAUUCCCAGUACCACUGACACAGUGUGAUCUGUGAAGCUGCAAAUCUCAAUUCAGCAAGUGAUGAAUAUAUUCUAAUCUUUUGGGAUUGUAUUAUUGAUUCAAGGUUGAUCUGAAACUAUGCUUGAUAGAAAUGUGUGGAUGAUGUUCUGUUAUUUAUUUAUUUGUUUUACUGCUUUUAUCAGAUUGCAAAUAUGGAAGGGGAAAAAAUCCAUGAGAAAAAAAAAUUGGGUUUUUUAUGAUGUUGUUUUCAUUACAUUUUCUAGUAACCCAUGGUUGAAGUGUUAGGUAACUUGUAGCACUGAUGAAAAAAUUUCCCUGUUAUGUCUGUUUUAAAUUUGGCAUCAUGUGUUGAUGUGAUUCAUCGUUAUUUUUGAUAUUUUAAAAAAUUGAGACAAACUUACUUGAAUAUUGAUAUAAAUCCAUCUCUAUUUCCACAGUAUAUACCCAAGUCCAUUGCCUCAGGUGAGCCUGAGGAGCUUAUUAUUUCUUACUAUUUUUGAUGUAUAACAGAGGAAUCAAUGCUGAAACAUAAGAGUGUUGUCAGGCAUUUCUUUAAUCAUUUAUAAAGAACUUCAGCUCUGGUAAUAGAAAAAUUUAAAAACUAAACAGUGCAUCUUUUUAGAGUAGUGCAAAACACUACCAUAGCCAAUGUAUAGUAUGUAUUUUAUUUCUGUUUUACAGAGCUACUUCAAUUCCAAAAGUAAUUUUCUCAUGAAAUUACGAUUAAUGUGACUGACCUCAGUUUCAGGAAGAAGAUGUAUGUAAUUAUGUGGAGACUGAUACUGCACUGCCUCAGUGGAAUUUCUGACAGAAUAAGGAGAGCAGCUUGCUGACCUCAGAUGCCCUUUCUGAGUGCAAGAAGGAAGUAGGAAAGCUCCCCACAGACAUUACUGGACUUUGGAUCAAGUCAUAGGUCUUUCUAGUCUUGCUAACAGCAGAUGGAGUGGAAUUUCUGUGCCUGCACUCCAUUGAUUGUAGACUUGGGGCCUUAGUUUUAAAAGAGUGCUGAAUGAAAUAAGGGAAAAUAAGUGUUCACGCUUAGGUAUGUAAAUAAACUAAGAGUGAUCUCUC